RNAcentral lists this ribosomal RNA (447 nucleotides) under uncultured organism. RNAcentral describes it as "partial 16S ribosomal RNA". It matches the Rfam family "Bacterial small subunit ribosomal RNA", at positions 334 to 797 of the family's 1533-position model. The record is from RNAcentral.
CACUCCUACGGGAGGCAGCAGUGGGGAAUAUUGGACAAUGGGCGCAAGCCUGAUCCAGCCAUGCCGCGUGAGUGAUGAAGGCCCUAGGGUUGUAAAGCUCUUUCACCGGUGAAGAUAAUGACGGUAACCGGAGAAGAAGCCCCGGCUAACUUCGUGCCAGCAGCCGCGGUAAUACGAAGGGGGCUAGCGUUGUUCGGAUUUACUGGGCGUAAAGCGCACGUAGGCGGACUAUUAAGUUAGGGGUGAAAUCCCGGGGCUCAACCCCGGAACUGCCUUUGAUACUGGUAGUCUUGAGUUCGAGAGAGGUGAGUGGAAUUCCGAGUGCAGAGGUGAAAUUCGUAGAUAUUCGGAGGAACACCAGUGGCGAAGGCGGCUCACUGGCUCGAUACUGACGCUGAGGUGCGAAAGCGUGGGGAGCAAACAGGAUUAGAUACCCCGGUAGUCCCA